GACGAACGCUGGCGGCGUGCCUAAUACAUGCAAGUAGAACGCUGAAGGAGGAGCUUGCUUCUCUGGAUGAGUUGCGAACGGGUGAGUAACGCGUAGGUAACCUGCCUGGUAGCGGGGGAUAACUAUUGGAAACGAUAGCUAAUACCGCAUAAGAGUAGAUGUUGCAUGACAUUUGCUUAAAAGGUGCAAUUGCAUCACUACCAGAUGGACCUGCGUUGUAUUAGCUAGUUGGUGGGGUAACGGCUCACCAAGGCGACGAUACAUAGCCGACCUGAGAGGGUGAUCGGCCACACUGGGACUGAGACACGGCCCAGACUCCUACGGGAGGCAGCAGUAGGGAAUCUUCGGCAAUGGACGGAAGUCUGACCGAGCAACGCCGCGUGAGUGAAGAAGGUUUUCGGAUCGUAAAGCUCUGUUGUAAGAGAAGAACGAGUGUGAGAGUGGAAAGUUCACACUGUGACGGUAUCUUACCAGAA
RNAcentral lists this ribosomal RNA (476 nucleotides) under Streptococcus mitis. RNAcentral describes it as "bacterial SSU rRNA". It matches the Rfam family "Bacterial small subunit ribosomal RNA", at positions 28 to 488 of the family's 1533-position model. Lineage: Bacteria; Bacillati; Bacillota; Bacilli; Lactobacillales; Streptococcaceae. The record is from RNAcentral.